RNAcentral lists this ribosomal RNA (468 nucleotides) under uncultured bacterium. RNAcentral describes it as "partial 16S ribosomal RNA". It matches the Rfam family "Bacterial small subunit ribosomal RNA", at positions 28 to 507 of the family's 1533-position model. The record is from RNAcentral.
GAUGAACGCUGGCGGCGUGCUUAACACAUGCAAGUCGAACGGAAAGGCCCAAGCUUGCUUGGGUCCUCGAGUGGCGAACGGGUGAGUAACACGUGGGUGAUCUGCCCUGCACUUCGGGAUAAGCCUGGGAAACUGGGUCUAAUACCGGAUAGGACGAUGGUUUGGAUGCCAUUGUGGAAAGUUUUUUCGGUGUGGGAUGAGCUCGCGGCCUAUCAGCUUGUUGGUGGGGUAAUGGCCUACCAAGGCGUCGACGGGUAGCCGGCCUGAGAGGGUGUACGGCCACAUUGGGACUGAGAUACGGCCCAGACUCCUACGGGAGGCAGCAGUGGGGAAUAUUGCACAAUGGGCGCAGGCCUGAUGCAGCGACGCCGCGUGGGGGAUGGCGGCCUUCGGGUUGUAAACUCCUUUCGCUAGGGACGAAGCGUUUUUGUGACGGUACCUGGAGAAGAAGCACCGGCUAACUACGUG